This 138-nucleotide small RNA is filed under the name Klebsiella pneumoniae subsp. pneumoniae. RNAcentral's name for it is "RtT sRNA". It matches the Rfam family "RtT RNA". Rfam says of the family: This family represents a bacterial cis-regulatory element known as RtT RNA. The exact function of RtT is unknown although it is thought that it may be involved in changing the cellular response in relation to amino acid starvation. The record is from RNAcentral. Lineage: Bacteria; Pseudomonadati; Pseudomonadota; Gammaproteobacteria; Enterobacterales; Enterobacteriaceae.
UUUAUGUGCCCACAGGGGGGGAUGAGAACCCCCGACCGGGGUUCGACAACUGGCAACGCCAGUUGGACAGACCGCGAGCCUGCGAGCGGGCUGCCCCGCAGGGGCGAGCGAAGCGAGUCAAUCCCCCCCUCACCGCCA